This 253-nucleotide ribosomal RNA is filed under the name uncultured bacterium. RNAcentral's name for it is "partial 16S ribosomal RNA". It matches the Rfam family "Bacterial small subunit ribosomal RNA", at positions 524 to 776 of the family's 1533-position model. The record is from RNAcentral.
UACGAAGGGGGCUAGCGUUGCUCGGAAUCACUGGGCGUAAAGCGCACGUAGGCGGCUUCUUAAGUCAGGGGUGAAAUCCUGGGGCUCAAACCCAGAACUGCCCUUGAUACUGAGGAGCUUGAGUCCGGGAGAGGUGAGUGGACCUCCGAGUGUAGAGGGGAAAUUCGUAGAUAUUCGGAAGAACACCAGUGGCGAAGGCGGCUCACUGUCCCGGUCGUGACGCUCAAGUGCCACAGGGUGGGGAGGAAACAGG